UGGGGAAUAUUGGGCAAUGGGCGCAAGCCUGACCCAGCAACGCCGCGUGAAGGAAGAAGGCUUUCGGGUUGUAAACUUCUUUUGUCGGGGACGAAACAAAUGACGGUACCCGACGAAUAAGCCACGGCUAACUACGUGCCAGCAGCCGCGGUAAUACGUAGGUGGCAAGCGUUAUCCGGAUUUACUGGGUGUAAAGGGCGUGUAGGCGGGAUUGCAAGUCAGAUGUGAAAACUGGGGGCUCAACCUCCAGCCUGCAUUUGAAACUGUAGUUCUUGAGUGCUGGAGAGGCAAUCGGAAUUCCGUGUGUGGCGGUGAAAUGCGUAGAUAUACGGAGGAACACCAGUGGCGAAGGCGGAUUGCUGGACAGUAACUGACGCUGAGGCGCGAAAGCGUGGGGAGCAAACAGG
This 407-nucleotide ribosomal RNA is filed under the name Acidobacteriota bacterium. RNAcentral's name for it is "Acidobacteria bacterium partial 16S ribosomal RNA". It matches the Rfam family "Bacterial small subunit ribosomal RNA", at positions 355 to 776 of the family's 1533-position model. Lineage: Bacteria; Pseudomonadati; Acidobacteriota. The record is from RNAcentral.